This 23-nucleotide non-coding RNA is filed under the name Arabidopsis thaliana (thale cress). Lineage: Eukaryota; Viridiplantae; Streptophyta; Magnoliopsida; Brassicales; Brassicaceae. The record is from RNAcentral.
UUUCCAAGUUCCACCUCUCGGAA